Non-coding RNA from Pelobates cultripes (western spadefoot toad), 221 nucleotides. NCBI's taxonomy places the organism in Eukaryota, Metazoa, Chordata, Amphibia, Anura, Pelobatidae. The record is from the annotation of a GenBank genome assembly.
UAAUUGAAAGCAGGAAAACACAAACAAACACGUUCUGUAAAAGCAUCACUUGGAGAAUGUGGUCUGUAAAACCACAGGGAAUAUCAAACCUGCUCUUAAAUUACUGCAAAAUCUCCUGCAAGACCUCCCUUGCUGAUUGAUAUUUACAGCAAGAUCUUAGUGCUGACAUUCUUCAAAUAUUUGGCUUUUUUCAAUAGGAAGACCAAGUGUGUUGGUGGGCC